GAAAAUACCGCAAAUUGUUUUUUCAAUGCAAUGUGGCGGAGAGUGGCGCCAAAUUUACCCUGCUUGUUUGGAUGGGGAAAGAAAAGUAAAGAAGCAUGUUUUUGCGUUUUGCCACAGUCUUGAAUCUGAACAACUUGCUGCGGAUAGUGUCAUCAGAAUUUGGAUUAUGAACAAUGAAUUCAAACAGUACA
Long non-coding RNA from Xenia sp. Carnegie-2017, 191 nucleotides. RefSeq lists it as uncharacterized. NCBI's taxonomy places the organism in Eukaryota, Metazoa, Cnidaria, Anthozoa, Malacalcyonacea, Xeniidae. The record is from RefSeq and is a predicted model, not a curated record. The transcript is spliced from 3 exons.